Molecule: RNA transcript, 1462 nt
Organism: Gastrolobium bilobum
Lineage: Eukaryota; Viridiplantae; Streptophyta; Magnoliopsida; Fabales; Fabaceae
Gene name: protein phosphatase 1 regulatory inhibitor subunit PPP1R7 homolog
Exons: 7
Source: RefSeq, a predicted model, not a curated record
UUGGAGGCCACGCAAUUUGGUGAAGGUAAAUGGAGGAGGCAUCAACGGCUCCGGAUCUGGACGAAGGCGAUCCUUCAUCGACGGUUCUGGAUCUCACGAGCUAUCAGCUCCAUGACCUUGACUCGGUUGAGUUGCCGCCGAAUCUCACUGAGUUGGACCUCACCUCGAAUCGGUUGUCCACUUUGGACCCUCGCAUAGGGCACCUAUCUCAUCUCAAGAAGCUUUCCCUUCGUCAAAACCUCAUCACUGACGCUGCCGUUGAGCCUCUCUCUUCAUGGAACGCUCUUUCCUCUCUUGAGGACCUCGUGCUGCGUGAUAACCAACUAAGGAAAAUUCCUGACGUCAGCAUAUUCAAGACUCUUUUGGUUUUUGAUGUUUCUUUCAAUGAAAUUACUUUGCUACAUGGCUUGUCCAGGGUCUCCAACACCCUCAAGGAGCUCUAUGUAUCGAAAAAUGAAGUGACUAAGAUUGAGGAGAUUGAUCACUUCCAUCAACUCCACAUUCUUGAACUUGGCUCCAAUAAAUUAAGGGUGAUGGAGAAUUUCGAGAACCUCACAAAUUUGCAGGAGCUCUGGCUUGGACGUAAUCGAAUUAAAGUUGUAAAUCUCUGUGGUCUGACAUGCAUCAAGAAGAUUAGUUUGCAAAGCAAUCGUCUCACUACAAUGACAGGAUUUGAGGGUUGCAUAGCUCUAGAAGAACUAUACUUGAGCCAUAAUGGUAUCACAAAAAUGGAAGGCCUGUCAUCUUUAGUCAAUCUCCGGGUUUUAGAUGUAUCAUCAAAUAAGCUAACCUCUGUGGAUGACAUUCUCAACCUGACGCAAUUAGAAGAUUUGUGGCUUAAUGACAACCAAAUAGAAUCACUCGAAGGAAUUGCUGAGGCUGUUGCUGGUUCAAGAGAGAAGCUUACCACUAUCUACCUAGAAAAUAACCCAUGUGCUAAGUCAACCAACUAUGCUACCAUCCUAAGGGAAAUCUUCCCCAACAUCCAACAAAUUGAUUCUUAUGUGUUUUCUUAGGAGUUACUUGGCUUCAGCUUUGGCUGAAAACAGUAGGUUUGAAGCUUUGUCUUUUCAUAUCCAUUUAUCCUGGUUUGAAAGAUCGAUGAUUUGGCUCUGUCCACCUAAUGGAGAGAAUAAGCUUAUCAACAAUUGGACAAUAUUACGUGCCUGACCAUUGGUUACUAGUCGAAUGAACAUGCUUGUUAUAUGUUUCUUGUUUAGCAGACCACAUUUCGUUUUAUUUAUAUCUUUUUGGCAACCAGUUUUUGAAGUUACGCCUUUUUUCUUCUGUGUUAAUGAUAUUUCUAGUUACCUUUUUGGGUAUACAGUGGAGAAUGUAGAUUAAUGAUCGCCUAGAGAUUCACUGAAAUUUGUUUUAGUGAUUCACCAUCCAUAACUAAGUAAAUGUUUAUUGUCUGUGACAUGCAUAUAAGCUAUCUCUGCAAUUCUUCAAGAAUUCCCUC